CGGUAGUGGGCAACCUGCCCUGUACUGUGGAAUAAUCAUUGGAAACGGAUGACUAAUACCGCAUGUGGUCCUCGGAAGGCAUCUUCUGAGGAAGAAAGGAUUUAUUCGGUACAGGAUGGGCCCGCAUCUGAUUAGCUAGUUGGUGAGAUAACAGCCCACCAAGGCGACGAUCAGUAGCCGACCUGAGAGGGUGAUCGGCCACAUUGGGACUGAGACACGGCCCAA
RNAcentral lists this ribosomal RNA (225 nucleotides) under uncultured bacterium. RNAcentral describes it as "partial 16S ribosomal RNA". It matches the Rfam family "Bacterial small subunit ribosomal RNA", at positions 112 to 334 of the family's 1533-position model. The record is from RNAcentral.